UACGAAGGGGGCUAGCGUUGUUCGGAAUUACUGGGCGUAAAGCGCACGUAGGCGGCGAGCAUAGUCAGGUGUGAAAGCCCCGGGCUCAACCCGGGAACUGCACUUGAUACUGGCUUGCUAGAGUUCGGGAGAGGAGAGUGGAAUUCCCAGUGUAGAGGUGAAAUUCGUAGAUAUUGGGAAGAACACCAGUGGCGAAGGCGGCUCUCUGGUCCGAUACUGACGCUGAGGUGCGAAAGCGUGGGGAGCAAACAGG
RNAcentral lists this ribosomal RNA (253 nucleotides) under Alphaproteobacteria bacterium. RNAcentral's name for it is "partial 16S ribosomal RNA". It matches the Rfam family "Bacterial small subunit ribosomal RNA", at positions 524 to 776 of the family's 1533-position model. The record is from RNAcentral. RNAcentral also lists the same sequence under 1 other name. Lineage: Bacteria; Pseudomonadati; Pseudomonadota; Alphaproteobacteria.